AGAGUUUGAUCCUGGCUCAGGAUGAACGCUGGCGGCGUGCUUUAACACAUGCAAGUCGAGCGAAGCACUUAAGUUUGAUUCUUCGGAUGAAGACUUUUGUGACUGAGCGGCGGACGGGUGAGUAACGCGUGGGUAACCUGCCUCAUACAGGGGGAUAACAGUUAGAAAUGGCUGCUAAUACCGCAUAAGACCACAGUACUGCAUGGUACAGUGGUAAAAACUCCGGUGGUAUGAGAUGGACCCGCGUCUGAUUAGGUAGUUGGUGAGGUAACGGCCCACCAAGCCGACGAUCAGUAGCCGACCUGAGAGGGUGACCGGCCACAUUGGGACUGAGACACGGCCCAGACUCCUACGGGAGGCAGCAGUGGGGAAUAUUGCACAAUGGGCGAAAGCCUGAUGCAGCGACGCCGCGUGAAGGAUGAAGUAUUUCGGUAUGUAAACUUCUAUCAGCAGGGAAGAAAAUGACGGUACCUGACUAAGAAGCCCCGGCUAACUACGUGCCAGCAGCCGCGGUAAUACGUAGGGGGCAAGCGUUAUCCGGAUUUAUUGGGUUUAAAGGGUGCGUAGGUGGUGAUUUAAGUCAGCGGUGAAAGUUUGUGGCUUAACCAUAAAAUUGCCGUUGAAACUGGGUUACUUGAGUGUGUUUGAGGUAGGCGGAAUGCGUGGUGUAGCGGUGAAAUGCAUAGAUAUCACGCAGAACUCCGAUUGCGAAGGCAGCUUACUAAACCAUAACUGACACUGAAGCACGAAAGCGUGGGGAUCAAACAGGAUUAGAUACCCUGGUAGUCCACGCAGUAAACGAAGAUUUACUAGGAGUUUGCGAUACAAUGUAAGCUCUACAGCGAAAGCGUUAAGUAAUCCACCUGGGGAGUACGCCGGCAACGGUGAAACUCAAAGGAAUUGACGGGGGCCCGCACAAGCGGAGGAACAUGUGGUUUAAUUCGAUGAUACGCGAGGAACCUUACCCGGGUUUGAACGUAGUCUGACCGGAGUGGAAACACUCUUUCUAGCAAUAGCAGAUUACGAGGUGCUGCAUGGUUGUCGUCAGCUCGUGCCGUGAGGUGUCGGCUUAAGUGCCAUAACGAGCGCAACCCUUAUCACUAGUUACUAACAGGUGAAGCUGAGGACUCUGGUGAGACUGCCAGCGUAAGCUGUGAGGAAGGUGGGGAUGACGUCAAAUCAGCACGGCCCUUACAUCCGGGGCGACACACGUGUUACAAUGGCAUGGACAAAGGGCAGCUACCUGGUGACAGGAUGCUAAUCUCCAAACCAUGUCUCAGUUCGGAUCGGAGUCUGCAACUCGACUCCGUGAAGCUGGAUUCGCUAGUAAUCGCGCAUCAGCCAUGGCGCGGUGAAUACGUUCCCGGGCCUUGCACUCACCGCCCGUCA
Molecule: ribosomal RNA, 1389 nt
Filed under: uncultured bacterium
Lineage: Bacteria
Description: partial 16S ribosomal RNA
Rfam family: Bacterial small subunit ribosomal RNA
Source: RNAcentral